GAUGAACGCUAGCUACAGGCUUAACACAUGCAAGUCGGGGGGAAACGACAUCGAAAGCUUGCUUUUGAUGGGCGUCGACCGGCGCACGGGUGAGUAACGCGUAUCCAACCUGCCCAUCACCUGGGAAUAACCUUGCGAAAGUAAGACUAAUACCCAAUGACAUCCCACGAAGACAUCUGAAUGGGAUUAAAGAUUUAUCGGUGAUGGAUGGGGAUGCGUCUGAUUAGCUUGUUGGCGGGGUAACGGCCCACCAAGGCAACGAUCAGUAGGGGUUCUGAGAGGAAGGUCCCCCACAUUGGAACUGAGACACGGUCCAAACUCCUACGGGAGGCAGCAGUGAGGAAUAUUGGUCAAUGGGCGAGAGCCUGAACCAGCCAAGUAGCGUGCAGGAUGACGGCCCUAUGGGUUGUAAACUGCUUUUAUAAGGGAAUAAAGUGGGUCUCGUGAGACUUUUUGCAUGUACCUUAUGAAUAAGGACCGGCUAAUUCC
This 489-nucleotide ribosomal RNA is filed under the name uncultured bacterium. RNAcentral describes it as "partial 16S ribosomal RNA". It matches the Rfam family "Bacterial small subunit ribosomal RNA", at positions 28 to 504 of the family's 1533-position model. The record is from RNAcentral.